AGGGUAUUAUUGGUUGAACAAACCAUCUUUAUGCGACUUUUGCGCCACAUAGAUUCCCUAAGCCAACAUCGAGGUGCCAACCCCCAUUAUUGAUAAGGACUCUUUAAUAGGAUUAGCCUGUUAUCCCUAAGGUAGCUUGUUCUUGUGAUCUUUAUUAAGGGUCAGUAAUUAGAUUUAUUUAUCUUUUAAUAAGGGAUGAUUAAUUUUCCCUGGUCGCCCCAACCGAAUUUUAUUAAAGUUUAUAUCUAUAUUAAAAUGAAGCUCUAUAGGGUCUUCUUGUCCUUCGAUUAAAUCUAACAAUCUUCAGUUAGAUAUUAAUUUUUAUAGGGCUUGUAGAGACAGUUUUUAUUUCGUUGGUCCGUUCAUUCUAGCCCACAAUUAAUGGGCAAGUGAUUAUGCUACCUUUGCACGGUUAGGAUACCGCGGCCGUUGAAUAAUAUCACUGGGCAGGAAUUACUUCUUAUUUUUUACAAGAAGCA
This 479-nucleotide ribosomal RNA is filed under the name Allolobophora chlorotica. RNAcentral's name for it is "partial 16S ribosomal RNA". Lineage: Eukaryota; Metazoa; Annelida; Clitellata; Crassiclitellata; Lumbricidae. The record is from RNAcentral.